GUGUCAGCAGCCGCGGUAAGACGAGUCUCACGAACGUUAUUCGGAAUUACUGGGCUUAAAGGGUGCGUAGGCGGUGGAGUAAGUCGGAUGUGAAAUACCAUAGCUUAACUAUGGAACUGCACUCGAUACUACUUUGCUAGAGUAAGACAGAGGUGAGUGGAACUGAGGGUGGAGCGGUGAAAUGCGUUGAUAUCCUCAGGAACACCGGUGGCGAAGGCGACUCACUGGGUCUUUACUGACGCUGAUGCACGAAAGCUAGGGUAGCAAACGGGAUUAGAUACCCUGGUAGUCC
This 292-nucleotide ribosomal RNA is filed under the name uncultured bacterium. Its description in RNAcentral is "partial 16S ribosomal RNA". It matches the Rfam family "Bacterial small subunit ribosomal RNA", at positions 505 to 796 of the family's 1533-position model. The record is from RNAcentral.